RNAcentral lists this long non-coding RNA (529 nucleotides) under Ananas comosus (pineapple). Its description in RNAcentral is "long non-coding RNA (ACOM_LNC008659)". Lineage: Eukaryota; Viridiplantae; Streptophyta; Magnoliopsida; Poales; Bromeliaceae. The record is from RNAcentral.
ACUCUAUAAUUGAUGACUAGUGAAAUACCCGCGCAAUGCUGCGGAUGUAAAAAUAUUUUUAUAAUAAAUUUUACUUUUUUUAAUAUUUUCAUAUAGUUUUAUAAGUCUAAUUAUUAAUUAAAUAAAAAUUAUAUAAAAAUAAUUUAAUCGGUAAAUCUAUUUAAAUAAAAGUCAUUAAAAUUGGUAUAUGCGCAAAGUAAUUUAUACAAUAAUUUAUUUUAUAAAUAUUUAUAUGAAAAUGAUUUGAGAUAAAUCUAUCAAAAUAAUUUAAAAAAAAUCAAUAAAUAGGAGAAAAAUAAAAUUGUAAAAGAAAUUAUUUAAUAGCAUUAAUUAUAUAUACACAAAAAUACACUAUAUUUCUAAAAUUUUACUCCUAAAAUUUAAAUACUGUAUUUUUUUUUAUACAGCGAUAUUUUACGUGAUUUAAAUUGCAUCUAUCAAGUUAGAUUUUAUUACGCAAUUUAUUACACGUAUUAUUAAUAAAAUUAAUUAAUUUCAUAGAGUUUAGAGAUUUAAAAUUUUAGACUUU